This 407-nucleotide ribosomal RNA is filed under the name uncultured bacterium. RNAcentral describes it as "bacterial SSU rRNA". It matches the Rfam family "Bacterial small subunit ribosomal RNA", at positions 355 to 774 of the family's 1533-position model. The record is from RNAcentral.
UGGGGAAUAUUGCACAAUGGGCGAAAGCCUGAUGCAGCGACGCCGCGUGAGGGAUGAAGGCCUUCGGGUUGUAAACCUCUUUCAGUAGGGAAGAAGCGAAAGUGACGGUACCUGCAGAAGAAGCGCCGGCUAACUACGUGCCAGCAGCCGCGGUAAUACGUAGGGCGCAAGCGUUGUCCGGAAUUAUUGGGCGUAAAGAGCUCGUAGGCGGUUUGUCGCGUCUGGUGUGAAAACCCAUGGCUCAACUGUGGGCUUGCAUCGGGUACGGGCAGACUAGAGUGCGGUAGGGGAGACUGGAAUUCCUGGUGUAGCGGUGGAAUGCGCAGAUAUCAGGAGGAACACCGAUGGCGAAGGCAGGUCUCUGGGCCGCAACUGACGCUGAGGAGCGAAAGCAUGGGGAGCGAACA